RNAcentral lists this ribosomal RNA (373 nucleotides) under uncultured prokaryote. RNAcentral describes it as "bacterial SSU rRNA". It matches the Rfam family "Bacterial small subunit ribosomal RNA", at positions 524 to 896 of the family's 1533-position model. The record is from RNAcentral.
UACAGAGGGUGCAAGCGUUAAUCGGAAUUACUGGGCGUAAAGCGUGCGUAGACGGUUGUUUAAGUCGGAUGUGAAAUCCCCGGGCUCAACCUGGGAAUUGCAUUCGAGACUGAUCAGCUAGGGUACGGAAGAGGGAAGCGGAAUUUCCGGUGUAGCGGUGAAAUGCGUAGAUAUCGGAAGGAACAUCAGUGGCGAAAGCGGCUUCCUGGUCCAGUACCGACGUUCAGGCACGAAAGCGUGGGGAGCAAACAGGAUUAGAUACCCUGGUAGUCCACGCCAUAAACGAUGAGGACUAGACGUUGGAAGGGUUAGCCUUUCAGUGUCGCAGCUAACGCGAUAAGUCCUCCGCCUGGGGAGUACGGCCGCAAGGUUG